GUGAUGGUGCAUUAUCAUGAAGCAAAAUUACUUUGUGUUGCCUUUUUUGAUAUUCUGGUCGUUUUUCACGCAAAGCUUGAUUCAAAUCGAUCAUUUGUUUUAACAGCUCAUAAUAGAUCACACCCUUCUGAUCCCACCAAACACAGAGCAUUGUCUUCCGUCCAUAGCGAUUUGGUCUUGUAGUCGAUGUCGGUGGUUCGCCUGGAGCUACCCAUGAUCUUUUAUGCUUAGGAUUCUCAAAAUAUAUCCACUGUUCAUCGUCAGUCACAAUUCGGUGGAGAAAUGACUUUCUUUUGUAUCUGGCAAGCAGCAUUUCGCAAGUGGUUUUUCGGUUUUCCUGCUGUCUUUCAUUCAGUUCAUGUGGAACCCACUUUCCCACCUUCUGGAUCUUUUCCAUGGCUUUCAAACGUAUAGAGACGGCUUCUCGUGUCACGUUUAAUUGAUCAGCGAGCUGUUGUUGCGUUUGAGCGUCAUCCUCAUCCAACAAUGCUUGCAAUUCGCUGUCUUGAAACUUUUUCGGUGGUCUUCCACGUUCUUCGUUCCUCACGUCAAAAUUGCCACUUCUGAAUUGUUUAAACCACUCAAAGCACUGUGAUUUACCAAGAGCAUGCUCACCGUAAGCUUCGACAAGCAUUCGAUGCGAUUCUGCAGCAGUUUUCUUCAAAUGGUAACAGAAAAUCAAUGCUGUCCGCAAAUCAUAGUUUCCAGGCACAAAAUUUGACAUGUUCAACGCUAUUACAAACUAUGCUAUUGUAUGAAACUUGUAUUGUUCUGAGUCGAAAAUGUUUGUGAGAUGUCAACAAAGACUUUUGGCAUCAAUGACGCAGUUUAGUGAUA
RNAcentral lists this unclassified non-coding RNA (837 nucleotides) under Bombus terrestris (buff-tailed bumblebee). RNAcentral describes it as "misc RNA ENSBTSG00005027123.1". The record is from RNAcentral. Lineage: Eukaryota; Metazoa; Arthropoda; Insecta; Hymenoptera; Apidae.